Homarus americanus (American lobster) is the source of this 1122-nucleotide long non-coding RNA. RefSeq lists it as uncharacterized. The record is from RefSeq and is a predicted model, not a curated record. The transcript has 6 exons. NCBI's taxonomy places the organism in Eukaryota, Metazoa, Arthropoda, Malacostraca, Decapoda, Nephropidae.
UUAUUAUUAUUGUUAUAUAGAAGGAAUUAUUUUUGUUUAUCCUCUUCGCCACUGACCGGCCUGUUAGCCGCUUGGAAGGCCUGUCACCUCUCUGUUAAGCACUGUAUAUGUACUGGAUCUCUCUUACGUACUAUUGCCAUAUACUGACUCUGUUACGUACUGUUGGCAACUUGGCAUGUACUGGUUAUCUGUUACGUACUGUUGGCACUGUGGGCAUGUGCUGACUCUCUGUUACGCACUGUUGGUAACUGAGCAAACAGUUUAAGGCAAUUAAGGAUAUAACCUUUGAUGCCCAGCCUUAGGUGUGAAACAGUGCCGAAGAAAAGGUGAGGUACUUCCCCGCCUGGAAUGCACUGCUGUCACCCCGUCUGGUCCUCGAGAUAUGCUAGGGACUGUCAGCUGAUUGAAAAUGUCCAAAGGAGGGCCACUAGACUGGUGCCUGCACUUCGGCACCUCAGCUACCCUGAGAGAUUAGAGCGCCUGCAUCUAUGUAUCUAUAUAUUACUAAUCAGCGGUAACCACCCAGUAAGGAGGACGGACUAUAUAAUGAGGUGAUUCACCACCGGCGCGCAGUAGUCAUUGAGACACAGAGGGAGUAGGUGCUGCCGGUCGUCUUUCUCACCUGACCGGUGCUGUUUUUUAAAUCCAUAUUGGUUGUUACUGUUGUGUUAAAGGCCAGUUUGCUGCCUCAGUGGUCGUCAGUGUGGACAGUACAGCAGCUUAUUUAUUGGGGAUGAUGACUUGAAGAUGGAGGAUGCAAGAAAUGAUAGUUUUAUUCUGAUGAACUCUCCCUGCACUGCACCAAAAAAUGUCAGUAGGUUCUGGACCUUAUUAAGGAGAGGUGUGCACUCUGCUGUACCACUCAUCUUGUACUGCUGUACCAGGAUGGCAAAUGAUUCACAACACAUCUAAAGGAAGCAAGUGCCAAGAUACAGCCCAGACCCAGCCUUCCACCCCUCCUCUCUACCUCAGUAUUGUUCUGAACACUGGAGUGCUGUGCUGCCCUAGGCUGUGCUUACUGGCCACUGCCCUGUACUUGCUGCUGCCCUAGACUUCCCUGUACUUGCUUGCUACUGCCCUGGACUGCUCUGCUCUGUGUAUGCUGGCUGCUGCCCUGGACGG